This 393-nucleotide ribosomal RNA is filed under the name uncultured bacterium. RNAcentral's name for it is "partial 16S ribosomal RNA". It matches the Rfam family "Bacterial small subunit ribosomal RNA", at positions 523 to 918 of the family's 1533-position model. The record is from RNAcentral.
AUACGGAGGAUCCGAGCGUUAUCCGGAUUUAUUGGGUUUAAAGGGAGCGUAGGCGGACUAUUAAGUCAGCUGUGAAAGUUUGCGGCUCAACCGUAAAAUUGCAGUUGAUACUGGUCGUCUUGAGUGCAGUAGAGGUAGGCGGAAUUCGUGGUGGAGCGGUGAAAUGCUUAGAUAUCACGAAGAACUCCGAUUGCGAAGGCAGCUUACUGGACUGUAACUGACGCUGAUGCUCGAAAGUGUGGGUAUCAAACAGGAUUAGAUACCCUGGUAGUCCACACAGUAAACGAUGAAUACUCGCUGUUUGCGAUAUACGGCAAGCGGCCAAGCGAAAGCAUUAAGUAUUCCACCUGGGGAGUACGCCGGCAACGGUGAAACUCAAAGGAAUUGACGGGG